UACGUAGGGUGCGAGCGUUAAUCGGAAUUACUGGGCGUAAAGCGUGCGCAGGCGGUUCGCUGUGUCCUGUGUGAAAGCCCCGGGCUUAACCUGGGAAUGGCAUGGGAAACUGGCGAGCUUGAGUGCGGCAGAGGGGGGUGGAAUUCCGCGUGUAGCAGUGAAAUGCGUAGAGAUGUGGAGGAACACCGAUGGCGAAGGCAGCCUCCUGGGCCAAUACUGACGCUCAUGCACGAAAGCGUGGGGAGCAAACAGG
Molecule: ribosomal RNA, 253 nt
Filed under: uncultured bacterium
Lineage: Bacteria
Description: partial 16S ribosomal RNA
Rfam family: Bacterial small subunit ribosomal RNA
Source: RNAcentral